Molecule: long non-coding RNA, 897 nt
Organism: Conger conger (European conger)
Lineage: Eukaryota; Metazoa; Chordata; Actinopteri; Anguilliformes; Congridae
Exons: 10
Source: RefSeq, a predicted model, not a curated record
GAACUUCCUCUCUUCGGUCUCAUUCCAACAGAUUUUUGACUGGUACCCCCCCAGCCCUAAUCCCAAUGGCACCAAUGGAUGCGACAUUCCCAAGGUCGUGUGUUCAGAAAGUUGCCACCGUGCAAUCCCACAGACACCCACACGAAAGGUGAAGAAAUGCUGUAUACACUGCUCAGCAAAUGGCAGAUGUACCUUGGACACUGACGUCAGGAACAGGGCAGGAAGGGGUUCCUGACUUGGGGGCAGUUUGAGCAGCUUCAUAUGGCAUCGAAAGAUUUCCCAAAUGCCAGUUUGUGCUGCUUCAUUUGGCACCAAGAGAUGCUGCAACAUGCUUGCUUUUCUACAUCUGCCCACUGAAAGGUGCUCGGCUCACGGCGCAGUGGAGUAGUGCCAGUUGCAGCAUGCUUGUCCUUUAGGCUACCAUGACUGUUGGAGGGGAACCUGAAACUGGAUUCAGAAGUUUGCAUGAGUACUGGAUUUUUCAACGAGUAACCUGUAAUGAAUAGUUAGGUUUGUUUUUCACCCUCAAUGGCACCUAGGUGGCAGAUGGCUGUGUUUUGCUUGUUCCUACCAAUUCCAUUCAGCUGUCCGAACUGAGUUCCAAUGGACCCGUUUCAGAUUCUCUUUCCCCAAACCCCCUGGGGUUGGGGUGUUAAGUGUGUGAAAAUGUGGGGAAGGAACAUGCAGGCAUGUGACGACAGCACAAGAUUACCACUGACAUGAGCGUGUACCCCCUCGGUGCUGUUUUGGGAACAAAUUUAGCUAACUUAAUGAAUGGAGCCUGCUCAUUUUGGUAGUGAUGGUCUGAGGAGCUUUCUGGAAAAGUUCCAUGUAAACCGUUUCAAUGUAUAAAUGAGAUUUGUACCUUCUAUUUUUGUAAUAAACAAGUUUGAAAUA